RNAcentral lists this transfer RNA (75 nucleotides) under Phaseolus vulgaris (common bean). RNAcentral describes it as "tRNA-Phe". It matches the Rfam family "tRNA". From Rfam's summary of the family: Transfer RNA (tRNA) molecules are approximately 80 nucleotides in length. Their secondary structure includes four short double-helical elements and three loops (D, anti-codon, and T loops). Lineage: Eukaryota; Viridiplantae; Streptophyta; Magnoliopsida; Fabales; Fabaceae. The record is from RNAcentral.
GUUCAGGUAGCUCAGCUGGUUAGAGCAAAGGACUGAAAAUCCUUGUGUCAUGUGGUUCGAAUCCACUUCUAAGCG